AACAACCCUAGGAGGUAAAACUGUUGUCAUCCCCACUUUAAGAGGAGGAAACAGAGGCAUAGAGGCAGUUAAGUAACUUUUCCAGGACCUCAUAGCUGGUGAGGGGCAGAGACAAAAAUCAAAACCCUGAGGAGCUAUUUGCAAGGUAGUCUGGGAACAGUAGCAAAGGCACAGAGCUAGGACAGGGACCAAGGGGUUCUGGCAAGCCCAGCUUUCAACAGCAACAUGGAGCAGAUGACAGUGGAGGAAGGGCCUGAGGCUUUACCUGAAAGGAAGCCCAGGAAAGGUCUAAGUGAUAAAGGAAUCUUUAUGGAUGGGGUCCAUAGUGAUUCAAAGAUUUUCUGAUUGGCAAUUGGUUGUAAGAGUUACUACCUAAAGGCCUGUAAUCAAUAGAAAAAAGUUGUGGAGACUGAGGUUCUUAGUACAUAGAGGAAGUUUCAUAGGUGGCCACUCUUACAGGC
This 461-nucleotide long non-coding RNA is filed under the name Homo sapiens (human). RNAcentral describes it as "non-protein coding lnc-CD58-7:6". The record is from RNAcentral. Lineage: Eukaryota; Metazoa; Chordata; Mammalia; Primates; Hominidae.